This 1343-nucleotide ribosomal RNA is filed under the name uncultured bacterium. RNAcentral describes it as "16S ribosomal RNA". It matches the Rfam family "Bacterial small subunit ribosomal RNA", at positions 28 to 1378 of the family's 1533-position model. The record is from RNAcentral.
GACGAACGUUGGCGGCGUGCUUAACACAUGCAAGUCGAACGGAAAGGCCCUGCUUUUGUGGGGUGCUCGAGUGGCGAACGGGUGAGUAACACGUGAGUAACCUGCCCUUGACUUUGGGAUAACUUCAGGAAACUGGGGCUAAUACCGGAUAGGAGCUCCUGCUGCAUGGUGGGGGUUGGAAAGUUUCGGCGGUUGGGGAUGGACUCGCGGCUUAUCAGCUUGUUGGUGGGGUAGUGGCUUACCAAGGCCUUGACGGGUAGCCGGCCUGAGAGGGUGACCGGCCACAUUGGGACUGAGAUACGGCCCAGACUCCUACGGGAGGCAGCAGUGGGGAAUAUUGCACAAUGGGCGGAAGCCUGAUGCAGCAACGCCGCGUGCGGGAUGACGGCCUUCGGGUUGUAAACCGCUUUCGCCUGUGACGAAGCGUGAGUGACGGUAAUGGGUAAAGAAGCACCGGCUAACUACGUGCCAGCAGCCGCGGUGAUACGUAGGGUGCGAGCGUUGUCCGGAUUUAUUGGGCGUAAAGGGCUCGUAGGUGGUUGAUCGCGUCGGAAGUGUAAUCUUGGGGCUUAACCCUGAGCGUGCUUUCGAUACGGGUUGACUUGAGGAAGGUAGGGGAGAAUGGAAUUCCUGGUGGAGCGGUGGAAUGCGCAGAUAUCAGGAGGAACACCAGUGGCGAAGGCGGUUCUCUGGGCCUUUCCUGACGCUGAGGAGCGAAAGCGUGGGGAGCGAACAGGCUUAGAUACCCUGGUAGUCCACGCUGUAAACGGUGGGUACUAGGUGUGGGGUCCAUUCCACGGGUUCCGUGCCGUAGCUAACGCUUUAAGUACCCCGCCUGGGGAGUACGGCCGCAAGGCUAAAACUCAAAGGAAUUGACGGGGCCCCGCACAAGCGGCGGAGCAUGCGGAUUAAUUCGAUGCAACGCGUAGAACCUUACCUGGGUUUGACAUGGAUCGGGAGUGCUCAGAGAUGGGUGUGCCUCUUUUGGGGUCGGUUCACAGGUGGUGCAUGGCUGUCGUCAGCUCGUGUCGUGAGAUGUUGGGUUAAGUCCCGCAACGAGCGCAACCCUUGUUCACUGUUGCCAGCACGUUAUGGUGGGGACUCAGUGGAGACCGCCGGGGUCAACUCGGAGGAAGGUGGGGAUGACGUCAAGUCAUCAUGCCCCUUAUGUCCAGGGCUUCACGCAUGCUACAAUGGCUGGUACAGAGAGUGGCGAGCCUGUGAGGGUGAGCGAAUCUCGGAAAGCCGGUCUCAGUUCGGAUUGGGGUCUGCAACUCGACCUCAUGAAGUCGGAGUCGCUAGUAAUCGCAGAUCAGCAACGCUGCGGUGAAUACGUUCCCGGG